Molecule: long non-coding RNA, 205 nt
Filed under: Setaria italica (foxtail millet)
Lineage: Eukaryota; Viridiplantae; Streptophyta; Magnoliopsida; Poales; Poaceae
Description: long non-coding RNA (SITA_LNC005699)
Source: RNAcentral
CGGGAACACAAGGGGGUCGCUUGUAACAAUUUAAGAACACGAGUUUUUCAGGUUCACAAGCCUGCCAGAAAGGACAGCAAAAUUAACUACCACAGUAGGAUGUAGGGAGCGUCAUCUAAUAAACAUUGAGAUAAGCAUUGUAUCCAUGUCUUUAACAGGUUGAUUGUUUGCCAAAUCAAAAGAAAAAAAGCUCAAAUUAUUCAUG